UUUGACAGUGGAUUCUUGAUAGAAUUUUACUUCAUUUGGGCUUCUGGGUUCGAUUAGGAAUAUGGUCCUUUGUGUUAUUGGAUGAUUAUGAUUGAUGCGAGCUAGAUCGCUUUAUUUAACUCUGUGUUUUACUAUAUAUAUUGUGUGUUAAAAUUUGUUGUUUGUGCUCACUAUCUUGUUAGGUGAUCAUUGACAAUGGAUGAUUGUUAGUGAUAUGGAUAAUUGUCGAAUUUCUGGGUAGGGGAUGAAUUUGUUAAUUUGUGUUUGAUUACACUGUUAAAUAGUAACAGUACCCCCAUACGUCGAGUGAAUAAUAAGAGCAUAUAUGGUGUUGAAUAUUUCACUGUGUUUUUGUUUUGCAAGUUUGUUAAUUAGCAAGCAUGCAGCUAACUUGUGUGCUUCUUUGCUUGAAAAAUACCAAAAGAGACUCAUAAUAAUGAUGCAAGUUCGGCUUUAUUUUGUGGUAGAAAAGUUCUUGGUGGAGCUUUCUUUAAGUUUAUUUAUUUUUAUAUGUCUAGUUGCUCAGAAAGAAUGAUGCUUGUGUAAAGAUUAUUUCUAAAUCGGAAUAAACGCAAGUUUUCAUAUUGUUCUGAUACAUUUAUGUUUAUUAAAGAUAUCUCUGUUCUCUGUAUUCCCAAAAUUUAUAUUAAGUUAUAGUUACUUGUACAAUCUGAUUCAUUUUUGCAUGAACUGCAAUGUAAAGUGAAAUUUCAUCAUAUAAUGUACUGUGAAGAAAGCUCAAAUUUGAUAAUCACAAGCCAUGUGCAGUGAAAACUUGUAUUAGAAGAUAUUUAAAGAUAUGACACUUUAGACAACAAUGGACCUUUUGAUGAAAUCAUGUGGCCAGAGAGUCCGUUAAAAUAAAAUUGAUGUGUCAUUUACUCACUUUACAAAAGUAGAAUAUUCAUAUUGGAUUUUCUUUCUCACAAUGCUUCUGUCUUUCUCACAUGUCCACUCUUAUGGCUGGUCCUUUCAAUAAACUGGUAUAAACAUCUAAUUGUUCAGUCUUUCAAGGAUAAGAAAGUUUGAAACUUAGUAUACAGUACAAUACAAUCCUAUCAAGUUCUAGUGUUAUUUUAUUUGCUGUGGGAAAUAUUUCUUAUUUCACUUGAUACUGUUUUGUUUCUAAAUUGUUUCACUACUUUGGAGAUUAUAAAAAAAUUCAGACUUUAGUUAAGCAUGUAUCAUGGUUUCAUUCAUAUUCUAAUCUAGAGUGGUGAUUUAUGUUCUCUUUCAGGUGGUAUAACGACAUUGAUUGAUAUGCCCCUUAACAGUUAUCCUUCCAGUGUCUGUAGAAACACUAAAACUCAAGGUCGACGCAGCACAUGAGAAAAUAUAUGUCGAUGUUGGUUGACAUUGAUUUUGAAAAAGAACCAAUUGGAACAGGAAAGGAUGGGGAAAAUAUAUAUUUCAAGGACAUAUGGCCAUCUACAGAAGAAAAAUAGAGGAGUUGUUAAUGUUCAGAGCAGAGAGGAAGUGGUAGUCAAGCUGGUAUCUGAUGACAUUAAAUCUUUUUUUUUGGGGGUCAAUGAUUCCCUAUUUGAAAUGAUGUUCCUUGCGCAUAGUAUUAGGAAGUGCCUGUAGUUUGAUUGUUUUAGGCCAAGCUUGAAGUGGUUUGUUAUUUGUGACGUUUGGAUUGCGAAAAUUUUGAAUGUACGGUGUUGAUAUAUGCGAGAUAUUAGUUAUGAAAUGUGAAAUUUGAAUUUAUGCAUGUUUCUUUAAAUGUUUGUGAAAUUUGGAUUGUAAAAAUUUUGAAUGUAGUGGAUGUAUGCGAGAUACUAGAUAUGGAAAGUGCACGAAAUUUA
Long non-coding RNA from Asparagus officinalis (garden asparagus), 1805 nucleotides. RefSeq lists it as uncharacterized. The transcript has 4 exons. The record is from RefSeq and is a predicted model, not a curated record. NCBI's taxonomy places the organism in Eukaryota, Viridiplantae, Streptophyta, Magnoliopsida, Asparagales, Asparagaceae.